UGCUGGAUCGAAAAUUUUACGUGCAUGUCGUGCAACGUAUCCGUGACCGAAAUAUAAUCGAACUUUGAACGUCUGGUUUGCAGAGAUUUGGGCUGUAUAAAUCUUUUCCCAACCAUUGAAGAUUUCAGACACUAUUCAAGAUUUGAAGUGACACCAGAGUUGCCACCAAAAUGAGCGAAAAAGAAGGCAAAAAAUGCCCCUUCGGUUUCGGUGAGGGCGGCAGCGGGCACGGCAGUUGCCCUUACGGGUUUGGCACUGGCGGCCACGGUCAUCACGGGCCCGGCUUUGGGCACGGUGGGCCGGGCCACUGCCCGUACCUCCAAGGCCACGGCCACGGCCAUGGCCAUUUUGGGCCUGGAUUUGGAGGCCCUCCAGGCUUUGGUCCCCAUGGCUUUGGCCACCAUGGCUUCGAUCACCAUGGCGGUAAGCCCCCGAUGCUGCAGUGCCCAUGGAUGGUGGCUCGUUUGCACGCUUGCCCCUGGGCCUGGGGCGUGGGCUCGGGCCACCACGCCUGCAAGUCGGGGAAAUCAUGCGACUUCUGUGUGACCUUGAAAGUGGCCGACUUCUGCUCCGAGGAGCUGGAGGUCAAGGUGGUGGGACAGGAGGUGAUCGUUCAUGGCAAGCAUGAGCCCCGCCCAGAUCCAGCAGAUGCCAGCACCGUCUCCAGGGAGUUCACCCGUCGCUAUGAGCUGCCAGACAACAUCGAUCUGCAGACCGUUGCCUCCUCCCUGAACGAUGACCACGAGCUGAUCAUCACGGCUACCAAGAAAGUAGCCGAGGGCGAGCCUCGGGUGGUCCCCAUCCAGGUGGGAGAGGGGUCUGGCGACCACUAGGCUGCAAUGCAUGAAUGUCGGAUGGAGGGAGGGCUUUGAAGUUACUUAUCCAUCCACCACAUCGAGGGCAAAGGGCUUGGGCUGGCUAUAAGGCCAAAAACACAACAACAAAAAAUAUUUGGGGUCCCCGCCCGCUUCGUUUUUGGAGGCUGCCUCCUUUUUUCCUUUUUUUUAAAACCAUUUUUAAAAAUUGAUAAAUUUUAAAUAGUGACAUAAUUUUGGCCUCUUUGUCUGUUGCAUCUAGCCUAUAUAAAGCUUGUAUGUCAUUUUCCAAGUGGCGGUCGUUGAAAAAAAAAGAGUUUGGCGGCCAUGUUGAAAAAUAGCCUGGUCGGGCGGCCAUUUUGGAGGGGAAUAAAAAGGGGGCCUCCUCCUUCCUUUUUUAUUCAAAAAAGGCAGGAUGCUAGACAUGUUUUUUUUUUCAUUUGGCCUAACCAACCCCUUCUGUCUGACCCAUGCUUAUUAUUUACAAAUUUGACAAAACUCUAACAUUUCUUUCUUGCCAAUAGUGUCACUGUUGCAAAUGUUGGUAUCACGGCUUAAAGGCUAGUAACGUUUGCAAUUACACGAAAAUGUACCUUAUUUUAGUGAGAAAAUCCUUGCUCAUAUUGAAGAUAGAGACUGGUACCAUUAUACCCUGUGAAAUUAUUCCGCCUGAAAUAUUCAGACGAAAAUCACUGAAAGUGGUUGAAGACAAUGUGACAGCUUUUUUUUUAAUGUGCAUUAGCAGCAGAAUCCAGUCACCUCGAACAUUUUGCAAAUGCUUUCUCUGUUAUUUCUCAAAAUGUAAAGUAUCCACUGAGCUGACUUCAGCAAAGUUGAAAAUUGAAGAUUUGAAGCAAUUUUGUCGCUUCAAACGAAAAAAAAUAUACACACACAAAAAUAUCUUAUGUACCUUUAAGGCCUUUUGGUUUUUCUUAUGUGCUGACCUGAACACUCAAGGGAGCAAAAUUUCUCCUUGAAAAAACAGUGGACUUUUAGGUCAACACCUCAACCAAGUGGCCCCACCUACCUUUGAAAAACUCUGGAUCUGAACAAAAUUAUAACACCACCUCCAACACAUUCCUCCUGGCUUGAAUUUUAAGACCUGAAAUCUGCUAGACCAAUAGGCUUCUAGAUAUGUAGACUUGAAUUAGAAUGCCAAGAUACAAGUUAUGAAUAACACAUGUAUAUUAAUUGUUCAAGGGAAUUAGGAAAUGUUGGUGUACAAGGCUUCAUGGCAAGUGGGAACAAAUUGUGUUGUAUUUCAAAAUAGAUUAAACUUGUACAUGGAUGCACCUAAAUUGUAGAUCAUAGUACUAAUAUUCUUAAGCUCUAGAAAUCUGGAAUUCUGUUUUGUAGGGAAAUCAGUUAGCCAUAGAAAGCAUUACACAGGUACUGAAAUUGAAUUUCUAUUUGCAUAAUACUGCCUAUCAUUAUAUAACUCAUAUUCUCAAUCAACUUUUUGUACUACUUGAACAUGUUUAAAUGCUUUCAUCUUGUUCAAAUUUAAUCAGAUUUAAAAUGAGCAAACUUAUAACUGCACAAACACUUUUGAAAAAAGAUUGAAUCGUUUAUUUGGUUUGUGUUAUACUUGAUUUUAUGUUGUUAUUAUUUUCUGCUUUUUGUUAAUGAUGAUAAAACAUGUCUGAAAAAUUAAGAAUUAAUGAUUAAUUGAUCAAGUAAUGAAUUACUGUGGCCGAUUUAAGUACAAGUGAAAGUGUUUUAUAUCAAAUUGUGCAUCACACAAUUUGUUUUUAUUUGGCUUUAAUUAUUUCUGUUGCAGAGUUUCCAUUAAUGUUUAUAAAUUAAAGUUGCAGGCUGAAAUUAUGUCUCAGAUAAAUAAAAGGCGCAUUCCUUUA
This 2671-nucleotide unclassified non-coding RNA is filed under the name Patiria miniata (bat star). RNAcentral's name for it is "uncharacterized LOC119739497, transcript variant X1". The record is from RNAcentral. Lineage: Eukaryota; Metazoa; Echinodermata; Asteroidea; Valvatida; Asterinidae.